This 482-nucleotide ribosomal RNA is filed under the name uncultured bacterium. RNAcentral's name for it is "partial 16S ribosomal RNA". It matches the Rfam family "Bacterial small subunit ribosomal RNA", at positions 30 to 507 of the family's 1533-position model. The record is from RNAcentral.
AUUGAACGCUGGCGGCAUGCUUUACACAUGCAAGUCGAACGGUAACAGGCCGCAAGGUGCUGACGAGUGGCGCACGGGUGAGUAAUGCAUCGGAACGUGCCCAGCCGUGGGGGAUAACUACUCGAAAGAGUAGCUAAUACCGCAUACGAUCUAUGGAUGAAAGCGGGGGACCGUAAGGCCUCGCGCGAUUGGAGCGGCCGAUGUCAGAUUAGGUAGUUGGUGGGGUAAAGGCUCGCCAAGCCAACGAUCUGUAGCUGGUCUGAGAGGACGACCAGCCACACUGGGACUGAGACACGGCCCAGACUCCUACGGGAGGCAGCAGUGGGGAAUUUUGGACAAUGGGCGCAAGCCUGAUCCAGCAAUGCCGCGUGCAGGAAGAAGGCCUUCGGGUUGUAAACUGCUUUUGUACGGAACGAAACGGCUCUGGUUAAUACCCGGGGCUAAUGACGGUACCGUAAGAAUAAGCACCGGCUAACUACGUG